RNAcentral lists this ribosomal RNA (447 nucleotides) under uncultured bacterium. RNAcentral describes it as "bacterial SSU rRNA". It matches the Rfam family "Bacterial small subunit ribosomal RNA", at positions 330 to 793 of the family's 1533-position model. The record is from RNAcentral.
UCCAGACUCCUACGGGAGGCAGCAGUGGGGAAUAUUGCACAAUGGGGGGAACCCUGAUGCAGCGACGCCGCGUGAGUGAAGAAGUAUUUCGGUAUGUAAAGCUCUGUCAGCAGGGAAGAAGAAAGACGGUACCUGAGUAAGAAGCCCCGGCUAACUACGUGCCAGCAGCCGCGGUAAUACGUAGGGGGCAAGCGUUAUCCGGAUUUACUGGGUGUAAAGGGAGCGUAGACGGCAUGGCAAGUCUGAAGUGAAAGCCCGGGGCUCAACCGCGGGACUGCUUUGGAAACUGUUAAGCUGGGGUGCAGGAGAGGUAAGUGGAAUUCCUAGUGUAGCGGUGAAAUGCGUAGAUAUUAGGAGGAACACCAGUGGCGAAGGCGGCUUACUGGACUGUAACUGACGUUGAGGCUCGAAAGCGUGGGGAGCAAACAGGAUUAGAUACCCGGGUAC